This 780-nucleotide ribosomal RNA is filed under the name uncultured bacterium. RNAcentral's name for it is "bacterial SSU rRNA". It matches the Rfam family "Bacterial small subunit ribosomal RNA", at positions 574 to 1352 of the family's 1533-position model. The record is from RNAcentral.
GGCGGUUUGCCGCGUCUGCUGUGAAAGCCCGGGGCUUAACCCCGGGUGUGCAGUGGGUACGGGCAGACUAGAGUGCAGUAGGGGAGACUGGAAUUCCUGGUGUAGCGGUGAAAUGCGCAGAUAUCAGGAGGAACACCGAUGGCGAAGGCAGGUCUCUGGGCUGUUACUGACGCUGAGGAGCGAAAGCAUGGGGAGCGAACAGGAUUAGAUACCCUGGUAGUCCAUGCCGUAAACGUUGGGCACUAGGUGUGGGGGACAUUCCACGUUUUCCGCGCCGUAGCUAACGCAUUAAGUGCCCCGCCUGGGGAGUACGGCCGCAAGGCUAAAACUCAAAGGAAUUGACGGGGGCCCGCACAAGCGGCGGAGCAUGCGGAUUAAUUCGAUGCAACGCGAAGAACCUUACCAAGGCUUGACAUGGACCGGACCGCUGCAGAGAUGCAGCUUCCCUUCGGGGCUGGUUCACAGGUGGUGCAUGGUUGUCGUCAGCUCGUGUCGUGAGAUGUUGGGUUAAGUCCCGCAACGAGCGCAACCCUUGUCCUAUGUUGCCAGCACGUAAAGGUGGGGACUCAUGGGAGACUGCCGGGGUCAACUCGGAGGAAGGUGGGGAUGACGUCAAAUCAUCAUGCCCCUUAUGUCUUGGGCUUCACGCAUGCUACAAUGGCCGGUACAGUGGGUUGCGAUACUGUGAGGUGGAGCUAAUCCCUAAAAGCCGGUCUCAGUUCGGAUCGAAGUCUGCAACUAGACUUCGUGAAGUUGGAGUCGCUAGUAAUCGCAGAUCAG